CACACUAUACUCUGUAUAGGUUGCCAUUUGUGACACAGACAUAGACAUGUCAGCUACUCAAGUAGCUGACAUAAACAUUCAGGAACAAGAUCAUGCUCCGGUCUACAUUCAUUAAGGAAAAUGACAGGAUAGAUAGAGGGAGACGGAAAUAGAGAGGGCAGGGGUAGAUACAGAGAGAUACAGAGAGAGAUACAGAGAGAUACAGAGAGAGAGGAAGGGGUAGAUACAGAGAGAUACAGAGAGAGAGGAAGGGGGUAGAUACAGAGAGAUACAGAGAGAUACAGAGAGAGAUACAAAGAGAUACAGAGAGAGAGGAAGGGAGAGAUACAGAGAGAUACAGAGAGAGAGGAAGGGGUAGAUACAGAGAGAUACAGAGAGAGAGGAAGGGGGUAGAUACAGAGAGAUACAGAGAGAUACAGAGAGAGAUACAAAGAGAUACAGAGAGAGAGGAAGGGGUAGAUACAGAGAGAUACAGAGAGAGAGGAAGGGGUAGAUACAGAGAGAGAUACAGAGAGAGAUACAGAGAGAGAUACAGAGAGAUACAGAGAGAGAGGAAGGGGUAGAUACAGAGAGAUACAGAGAGAGAGGAAGGGGUAGAUACAGAGAGAGAUACACAGAGAGAGGAAGGG
Long non-coding RNA from Oncorhynchus tshawytscha (Chinook salmon), 629 nucleotides. The record is from Ensembl. NCBI's taxonomy places the organism in Eukaryota, Metazoa, Chordata, Actinopteri, Salmoniformes, Salmonidae.